AAGGUUUUGCGGAUGAUUGCUCUGCCGAAAGGCAGGGAGGAAAGUCCGGACUUCAUUGAGCAGUGCAAAGGGUAACGCCCUUCCGUCGUAAGGCGAGGAACAGUGGAACAGAGAGAAUGUCCAGAGCUUUGAUCUAAUUGACGGGAACGGGAGUCUUUUAGGGAGCUGCUGGAGUGAAAACAGCUAAACUCUGCACGAAGCAAGAUCAAAUAGGGAAGCGCUAAGUUCGGCUCUGACGAGCUUCCGGGUAAGAUCGCUCGAGGGAAAUGGAGACAUUUCUCCCAGAUAAAUAGUCAUACAUGAGAGUGAGUUUAGGGACUCAGUUUCAAGACAGAAUCCGGCUUAUAGCAAAACCAAUUUC
This 361-nucleotide RNase P RNA is filed under the name Pseudobdellovibrionaceae bacterium. RNAcentral's name for it is "Bdellovibrionaceae bacterium (bioreactor metagenome) RNase P RNA component class A". It matches the Rfam family "Bacterial RNase P class A". Rfam says of the family: Ribonuclease P (RNase P) is a ubiquitous endoribonuclease, found in archaea, bacteria and eukarya as well as chloroplasts and mitochondria. Its best characterised activity is the generation of mature 5'-ends of tRNAs by cleaving the 5'-leader elements of precursor-tRNAs. Cellular RNase Ps are ribonucleoproteins. Lineage: Bacteria; Pseudomonadati; Bdellovibrionota; Bdellovibrionia; Bdellovibrionales; Pseudobdellovibrionaceae. The record is from RNAcentral.